This 292-nucleotide ribosomal RNA is filed under the name uncultured bacterium. Its description in RNAcentral is "partial 16S ribosomal RNA". It matches the Rfam family "Bacterial small subunit ribosomal RNA", at positions 505 to 796 of the family's 1533-position model. The record is from RNAcentral.
GUGCCAGCCGCCGCGGUAAUACGUAGGGGGCGAGCGUUGUCCGGAAUCAUUGGGCGUAAAGCGCGUGUAGGCGGCUUGGUAAGUCCGGUGUGAAACCUUGGGGCUCAACCCCAAGCCUGCACUGGAUACUGCCUCGCUUGAGUCCGGGAGGGGAGAGCGGAAUUCCUAGUGUAGCGGUGAAAUGCGCAGAUAUUAGGAAGAACACCGGUGGCGAAGGCGGCUCUCUGGAACGGUACUGACGCUGAGACGCGAAAGCGUGGGGAGCGAACAGGAUUAGAAACCCCCGUAGUCC